CCGAGUUUACAACUCCCAAACCCCUAUGUGAACGUUACCAAACUGUUGCCUCGGCGGGUCAUUCAUGCCCCGGGCGCGUCGCAGCCCCGGACCAAGGCGCCCGCCGGAGGACCAACCAAAACUCUUUUGUAUGUCCCUCGCGGACUUUUUUAUAAUUCUGAACCAUCUCGGCGCCCCUAGCGGGCGUUUCGAAAAUGAAUCA
RNAcentral lists this ribosomal RNA (202 nucleotides) under Trichoderma piluliferum. RNAcentral describes it as "internal transcribed spacer 1 (ITS1)". Lineage: Eukaryota; Fungi; Ascomycota; Sordariomycetes; Hypocreales; Hypocreaceae. The record is from RNAcentral.